UCUGGCCCCAGCAGCCGCGGUAAUUCCAGCUCUCAAAGUGUAUAUCGUCAUUGCUGCGGUUAAAAAGCUCGUAGUUGGAUCUGCGCCUCAGGACUCGGUCCGCCCAUUGGGUGAGAACUGGGCUCCUGGGCUAGUUUUGCUGGUUUUCCCUACGUUGCCUUCAUCGGUAGCAUAGGGUGGCUAGCGAGUUUACUUUGAAAAAAUUAGAGUGCUUCACGCGGGCUUAUGUCUGAAUACUCGUGCAUGGAAUAAUAGAAUAGGAUCUCGGCUCUAUUUUGUUGGUUUUCUGAUCUGAGAUAAUGGUUAAGAGGGACAGACGGGGGCAUUCGUAUCGCUGCGUGAGAGGUGAAAUUCUUGGACCGUAGCGAGACGCCCGACUGCGAAAGCAUUUGCCAAGAAUGUCUUCAUUAAUCAAGAACGAAAGUCAGAGGUUCGAAGGCGAUCAGAUACCGCCCUAGUUCUGACCGUAAACGAUACCAACUAGCGUUCCGUCGGCGGUAAAUACGCCUUGACGGGCAGCUUCCCGGAAACGAAAGUGUUUCGGUUCCGGGGGAAGUAUGGUUGCAAAGCUGAAACUUAAAGAAAUUGACGGAAGGGCACCACCAGGAGUGGAGCCUGCGGCUGAAUU
RNAcentral lists this ribosomal RNA (628 nucleotides) under Raphidascaris sp. Asca05. RNAcentral's name for it is "SSU rRNA". It matches the Rfam family "Eukaryotic small subunit ribosomal RNA", at positions 560 to 1195 of the family's 1831-position model. Lineage: Eukaryota; Metazoa; Nematoda; Chromadorea; Rhabditida; Raphidascarididae. The record is from RNAcentral.